UACGUAGGGGGCAAGCGUUGUCCGGAAUCAUUGGGCGUAAAGAGCGUGUAGGCGGCCCGAUAAGUCCGCUGUGAAAGUCCAGGGCUCAACCCUGGGAUGCCGCUGGAAACUGUCUGGCUAGAGUCCGGAAGGGGCGAGUGGAAUUCCUGGUGUAGCGGUGAAAUGCGCAGAUAUCAGGAGGAACACCAAUGGCGAAGGCAGCUCGCUGGGACGGUACUGACGCUGAGGCGCGAAAGCGUGGGGAGCAAACAGG
RNAcentral lists this ribosomal RNA (253 nucleotides) under uncultured bacterium. Its description in RNAcentral is "partial 16S ribosomal RNA". It matches the Rfam family "Bacterial small subunit ribosomal RNA", at positions 524 to 776 of the family's 1533-position model. The record is from RNAcentral.